GCCAGACUCCUACGGGAGGCAGCAGUAGGGAAUAUUGGGCAAUGGGCGCAAGCCUGACCCAGCAACGCCGCGUGAAGGAAGAAGGCUUUCGGGUUGUAAACUUCUUUUCUCAGGGACGAAGCAAGUGACGGUACCUGAGGAAUAAGCCACGGCUAACUACGUGCCAGCAGCCGCGGUAAUACGUAGGUGGCAAGCGUUAUCCGGAAUUACUGGGUGUAAAGGGAGCGCAGGCGGGAAGCCAAGUCAGCUGUGAAAACUACGGGCUUAACUUGUAGACUGCAGUUGAAACUGGUUUUCUUGAGUGAAGUAGAGGUUGGCGGAAUUCCGAGUGUAGCGGUGAAAUGCGUAGAUAUUAGGAGGAACACCAGUGGCGAAGGCGGCCUACUGGACGGUGACUGACGCUGAGGCUCGAAAGCGUGGGGAGCAAACAGGAUUAGAUACCCGAGUAGU
This 450-nucleotide ribosomal RNA is filed under the name uncultured bacterium. Its description in RNAcentral is "bacterial SSU rRNA". It matches the Rfam family "Bacterial small subunit ribosomal RNA", at positions 330 to 794 of the family's 1533-position model. The record is from RNAcentral.